UUUUUUUAAAAAAAUCUACUCUCUAUCAAAGAAGUUUUGUUUUUAAAUUGUUUUUGCCGUUAAUUUCAUUACUAGAAUUAUCAAGUUGCAAUAAUUAUAAAAAGUUUAAAAAUCAGGAAUCCUUCUUCUUGGCAAAAAAGGAUAAACCCUAAGCCGAAACCAUAUACACAAAACCAUAAACCAAACACUAAACGCUUGAACUCUAAACUAAAAACCAUAAUCUCUAAAUCCUAAACCAUAUACUCAAAUUAAACCUUAAGCCAAACACUAAGCCAUGCAAUCAAAACCCAAAGUCAAACACUAAACACUAAAUCCUAGACCCUAAACCAUUAUGCCCAAAAACCAUUGAUGUAUGAACAAACCGUAAAUGAAUACCCAAAACUCUAAAUCAUAAAUUAACUUAGUUUAUACAUUAAACAAUACUAAUGUGUAAACAAACCAUAAAUCAACUUUAUAUAUGCAUUAAACAAUAUCCAAUACCCUAAACUAUAUACUCAAAAUCCUAAACAAAAAAAUAAAUCCUAAACUCUGAAAACGAAAGCUUAAACUAUAAACUCAAAACUUAAACCAAACAUUAAAUUUAAACUCAAAAUCACGUACUCAAACACUAUACGUUUUCAUGUCACGCAGUUUCUCAUUAUA
Molecule: long non-coding RNA, 642 nt
Filed under: Brassica napus (rape)
Lineage: Eukaryota; Viridiplantae; Streptophyta; Magnoliopsida; Brassicales; Brassicaceae
Description: long non-coding RNA (BNAP_LNC023572)
Source: RNAcentral